RNAcentral lists this ribosomal RNA (371 nucleotides) under uncultured organism. RNAcentral describes it as "bacterial SSU rRNA". It matches the Rfam family "Bacterial small subunit ribosomal RNA", at positions 526 to 896 of the family's 1533-position model. The record is from RNAcentral.
CAGAGACUGCAAGCGUUAUUCGGAUUCACUGGGCGUAAAGGGUGCGCAGGCGGUUGGGUGUGUCAGAUGUGAAAUCCCGAGGCUUAACCUCGGAACUGCGUCUGAAACUACUCGACUAGAGUACUGGAGAGGGAAACGGAAUUCACGGUGUAGCAGUGAAAUGCGUAGAUAUCGUGAGGAACACCAGAGGCGAAGGCGGUUUCCUGGACAGUUACUGACGCUCAGGCACGAAAGCAUGGGGAGCAAAAGGGAUUAGAUACCCCUGUAGUCCAUGCCCUAAACGGUGCACACUAGGUCUUAGCGGAUUCGACCCCACUAGGGCCCAAGCUAACGCGUUAAGUGUGCCGCCUGAGGACUACGGUCGCAAGCUA